AGUCGAGCGGUAACAGAUCUAGCUUGCUAGAUGCUGACGAGCGGCGGACGGGUGAGUAAUGCAUAGGAAUCUGCCCUGUAGUGGGGGAUAACCUGGGGAAACCCAGGCUAAUACCGCAUACGUCCUACGGGAGAAAGGGGGCUUCGGCUCCCGCUACGGGAUGAGCCUAUGUCGGAUUAGCUAGUUGGUGAGGUAACGGCUCACCAAGGCGACGAUCCGUAGCUGGUCUGAGAGGAUGAUCAGCCACAUCGGGACUGAGACACGGCCCGAACUCCUACGGGAGGCAGCAGUGGGGAAUAUUGGACAAUGGGGGGAACCCUGAUCCAGCCAUGCCGCGUGUGUGAAGAAGGCCUUCGGGUUGUAAAGCACUUUCAGCGAGGAAGAACGCCUAGUGGUUAAUACCCAUUAGGAAAGACAUCACUCGCAGAAGAAGCACCGGCUAACUCCGUGCCAGCAGCCGCGGUAAUACGGAGGGUGCAAGCGUUAAUCGGAAUUACUGGGCGUAAAGCGCGCGUAGGUGGCUUGAUAAGCCGGUUGUGAAAGCCCCGGGCUCAACCUGGGAACGGCAUCCGGAACUGUCAGGCUAGAGUGCA
This 593-nucleotide ribosomal RNA is filed under the name Halomonas sp. 231_(IO)_30.02mbsf. RNAcentral describes it as "bacterial SSU rRNA". It matches the Rfam family "Bacterial small subunit ribosomal RNA", at positions 60 to 650 of the family's 1533-position model. Lineage: Bacteria; Pseudomonadati; Pseudomonadota; Gammaproteobacteria; Oceanospirillales; Halomonadaceae. The record is from RNAcentral.